CCCUUAGAUGUUCUGGGCUGCACGCGCGCUACACUGAUGCGCUCAACGAGUUUUAACCUUGCCUGGAAAGGUUGGGUAAUCUUUUUAAAACGCAUCGUGAUGGGGAUAGAUUAUUGCAAUUAUUAAUCUUCAACGAGGAAUUCCUAGUAAGCGCGAGUCAUCAGCUCGUGCUGAUUACGUCCCUGCCCUUUGUACACACCGCCCGUCGCUACUACCGAUUGAAUGGUUUAGUGAGAUCUCCGGAUUGGCGGCCUUGGUACCUUCACGGGUCCAACGGUUCUGCCGAGAAGCUGCUCGAACUUGAUCAUUUAGAGGAAGUAAAAGUCGUAACA
RNAcentral lists this ribosomal RNA (332 nucleotides) under uncultured eukaryote. Its description in RNAcentral is "partial 18S ribosomal RNA". It matches the Rfam family "Eukaryotic small subunit ribosomal RNA", at positions 1470 to 1796 of the family's 1831-position model. The record is from RNAcentral.